CAAAACACAAAGCAUUAUGAGCAUAUACUUAGAUAUUUCUCCCCCUUUUUGACAACAUCAAAAAGAUAGUGAAACAUGAAGCACAAAGAUAAGAAGACUCAAAUAUUUUUUUUCCUUAUUGUACUCUGAUUUGCAUGUCAAAUUAUUGCAAGGAUAUGAAUCAUAAAACUCAAGGCAAUAAUAUUAGAAUCAGAUUAAUGAGCAUAGAUCAGAGCCAAUUAAGAUAAUUUCAGAGCAGAACACAUCGAAUGUGAUUUCAAGAAGUUUUCUAAUUUGAUACCACAGAUAGUUUUUUUAAUCAAGUAUAGGUGGAAUCUUCCUUAGGUUAAUACAAGAAGUACCACAAAUGAUAUUCAAGGAAAUACAUGAGUGGAAAUCUAACCUCUCUUUAAUAAGUAUGAAAGCUUGUUCAUUUAAGACCUUUUGCCCAAUCUAUUAAGUAUUUUAUCAACAUGAGAGCAAUUUAAUUGAUUUUCAGAGUAAAAGAUCAAAACUUAUAUAUUUGAAAGACAUAUCAUCAUGUUGGAUCAUUAAUUCUUAAUGACUUCAAGGUUCUUUUAUGAUAAUAAGAGCAUUGCGGCACAAAUACCAAAAUAUGAAUUCAUGCAAUUUAUGAUUCAUCUCAGAGCUCUUUUAAAGACUUUCUUUUGUUCUUUUAGAAAAUAAGCACAAUUUGAUACAUAAAAA
RNAcentral lists this long non-coding RNA (687 nucleotides) under Phoenix dactylifera (date palm). Its description in RNAcentral is "long non-coding RNA (PDAC_LNC009682)". Lineage: Eukaryota; Viridiplantae; Streptophyta; Magnoliopsida; Arecales; Arecaceae. The record is from RNAcentral.